GGUGCGUUCGCGGACUGUGGCCGGGGACGGUUCGUCGGCGUCCGCCUGGGGUGGUGUGGGUGGAAUUCUUGCGGGAGGAGACCGUGGGUGGGUGUUCUUCCGUGUUAGGGUGUCCGCUUGCGGUGCCCGUGGUCUCGGUCAGGAGGUGCUCUCGUAGUUCUUGGCCGGCGCCAGUUCGUACCCUCGGACUCUCAGGAAUGAAAGUUUUUGCGGAGAUGAAUGAGCCAGCCUAUCUAAUAGCAGUUUUCUGUUGAAGUUGCCGCCUUUUCUCUUUUGUCCUCCGAGAUUCCUUGCACAUUCCUCUUGGAUAUUUCUUUUCAGAUUCUGACGCAAGUAAAAUCUCUUAUCACACUGUACGUUCCGUUCACAAGGGAUAAUCCUUGUCAAAAUUUUAGUAGAUUUCAAUUUGAGGCUUUUAGAUUAUGUGCUUAAUAUUUAUAAUUCAGAUAAGUUGUGUAAAUGGUACUAUGAUUUUCUCCUUGGCCUUAUUUCAUAUAAUAAACACUUACAAAUUAUUUUUAAUGUGUGAACCGGUGAUAUUGUGAGUGGAUUCGUAUUAAGCAUUUGCUUAUGUAUAAUCUAUAUAGAGAUGAAAUGUUUGAGAUGUUUAGGUAUCAUUCGAGAGACAUUUUAUGAUUAUGCAUUUAUACCCUUGGAUUUGUUCCCCAGCUUUUCGUUCCCAAUAUAAACUGUUUAUUUUUAUUGCA
This is a long non-coding RNA of Herpailurus yagouaroundi (jaguarundi), 707 nucleotides long. RefSeq lists it as uncharacterized. The transcript is spliced from 2 exons. The record is from RefSeq and is a predicted model, not a curated record. NCBI's taxonomy places the organism in Eukaryota, Metazoa, Chordata, Mammalia, Carnivora, Felidae.